ACAUGCGACCAUAUCCACAAGAAAAUAUCGGAUCCCGUUCGCUCUCCUGUAAUCAAGCUUGUGAGAGGGUAGUUAGUAGUUGGGUCGGUGACGA
This 94-nucleotide ribosomal RNA is filed under the name Diaporthe ampelina. The record is from RNAcentral. Lineage: Eukaryota; Fungi; Ascomycota; Sordariomycetes; Diaporthales; Diaporthaceae.